GAUGAACGCUAGCGGCAGGCCUAACACAUGCAAGUCGAGGGGUAGAGUUAGCUUGCUAACUUGAGACCGGCGCACGGGUGCGUAACGCGUAUGCAAUCUACCUUGUACAGAGGGAUAGCCCAGAGAAAUUUGGAUUAAUACCUCAUAGUAUCUUUACCUGGCAUCGGGUAAUUAUUAAAGUUCCAACGGUACAAGAUGAGCAUGCGUCCCAUUAGUUAGUUGGUAAGGUAACGGCUUACCAAGACAAUGAUGGGUAGGGGUCCUGAGAGGGAGAUCCCCCACACUGGUACUGAGACACGGACCAGACUCCUACGGGAGGCAGCAGUGAGGAAUAUUGGUCAAUGGACGCAAGUCUGAACCAGCCAUGCCGCGUGCAGGAAGACGGUCCUAUGGAUUGUAAACUGCUUUUANACAGGAAGAAACAACUCUACGUGUAGAGUCUUGACGGUACUGUAGGAAUAAGGAUCGGCUAACUCCGUGCCAGCAGCCGCGGU
Molecule: ribosomal RNA, 494 nt
Filed under: uncultured bacterium
Lineage: Bacteria
Description: bacterial SSU rRNA
Rfam family: Bacterial small subunit ribosomal RNA
Source: RNAcentral